Molecule: ribosomal RNA, 484 nt
Filed under: uncultured bacterium
Lineage: Bacteria
Description: partial 16S ribosomal RNA
Rfam family: Bacterial small subunit ribosomal RNA
Source: RNAcentral
AUUGAACGCUGGCGGCAUGCUUUACACAUGCAAGUCGAACGGCAGCGCGGGCUUCGGCCUGGCGGCGAGUGGCGAACGGGUGAGUAAUGCAUCGGAACGUGCCCAGUAGUGGGGGAUAGCGCGGCGAAAGCCGGAUUAAUACCGCAUAAGACCUGAGGGUGAAAGCGGGGGACCGAAAGGCCUCGCGCUAUUGGAGCGGCCGAUGUCGGAUUAGCUAGUUGGUGGGGUAAAGGCUUACCAAGGCGACGAUCCGUAGCUGGUCUGAGAGGACGACCAGCCACACUGGGACUGAGACACGGCCCAGACUCCUACGGGAGGCAGCAGUGGGGAAUUUUGGACAAUGGGGGCAACCCUGAUCCAGCCAUGCCGCGUGCGGGAAGAAGGCCUUCGGGUUGUAAACCGCUUUUGUUCGGGAAGAAAUCCUCUGGGCUAAUACCCCGGGGGGAUGACGGUACCGGAAGAAUAAGCACCGGCUAACUACGUG